Molecule: non-coding RNA, 30 nt
Filed under: Rattus norvegicus (Norway rat)
Lineage: Eukaryota; Metazoa; Chordata; Mammalia; Rodentia; Muridae
Source: RNAcentral
AGAAAUGGGUCCUAUUUCAGACCUCAGUUC